AUAAAAGUCCCAAUUUAAUGGCUAUACACUUAUUUUUAUUUAUAAUUUAAACAACUUAACACUUAUUAAUCGUUAUUCGAGUUUAGAACUUAUAGCCCUUUACUAAGCAGCACUCUAAUUAGAACUGUUCCUGCUGCACAAUCCGGCUGCCCUUAUAUAGGAGAUUGUUACCAAAACAUCGCCAUUCGAACAUUCUGUUAGUUGGUUCUAGUAGUUUAUCGUUGAUUAUAUUUUGUUCCACAAUCGGAUUAUUAUUAUUUUAUGCACAAGGUUAUUAGAGAGAGACGCUUUAUACGGCACUGAAAUCCACAUGUUUGGUGUCUGGAGACUUGAAAAGCUAUUGUCUUAUUUCGACUGGACGUUAAAUGGCAUACCUCAGAAGCACUAUUCGUGCAAGGUUUUAUUCCCAUCAUCUUAUUGCAGCUUGAUUUAUAUUGGUAAAUUGACCUUUUCAUGUGGACUUUAAAAUUUUGUUAUAUGGAAAGUAGGAGUGAUUGUAUUCAAAUUUGGACCAUUUUUAUUAUUUUCAGCCCCCAGAUGCCCCUUUCCACUGCGAUACCUUGUACCAAAUGACGCGUUUUGUAUCCUACUUUGCAGUUUAGUUAUAGCCCUUUAUAUGUUUUGCUUAAGGUCAUUUUGUGGUCGUAGCAAUGGUCGAUUCCGCCCUGAAAAUAAUGUCACAAAGAGCUUACAAACAAAAUUUCAUGUUGCCACGCCUUUUAUUGUGGGCGGUAGAGAAAGUUGCUUGUGAGCAAUAUUGAGCUAUGGUGGUAUAAGUUGAAAUUUAAAGAGUGGAAUGUGCCUUAGUUUUUUUGAGUACCCAGGAAUUAACUACAGAUGUGCCGAAACACCAACAGUCUCAUAUACCACUUCUUUGAGCGGUUAUUAACUUUAUACAGUUCCAUUAGCAUGUCUGAAAGAUAUUCUCCUCCCAUAUAUUUAUUAAAGCAGGCGACAAUAUCAGGCCUAGGAAUCUUUAAAUACUUUUCUGUGCUCCAAUAUCCGCAAUUUCCAAUUAGUUCAACUCCCAUAUAAGACGAUAUAAAUUGAACCGACUUGUUAUCAAACUACAGAACACAUAUUAAAUUGUGAUGUAUUCCACAUUUAUUGUCAUAGAACCCUCUUCCACGUUUUUUCAAUUUACAAUCUGAAAUCAAUUCGCACAGUGUCGGUUCCAAAUAUACCAAUUUCUUUUAAAUCUAGUAGAAGACUAGUUGUCAAAAUAGAGCUAAAAAUUUUGGUGCUUUGAAAGAUUGUUGGUUAAAUAAGUAAAUGACUAUGUCUGAAGAAAUUCCCAAGCCAUAUAAUAGACAGGUUCCCUCACCAACAUAGAGGGCAAAAUCAUAUACCAUUCCAGACGUUCCAGCGCGUGUGAACCUUUUCAUCCCCAACUUAUGGGGCCUUGCGGGAUUAUACUGCUUCAAAUUCAAUAGACUCGUAAUGAAUGAGGACUUGAGUAAAAUAUAACGACAGGGACUUUUCCACUCACAAUUGAAUGUAAUUAUUUGCUCGUCAAUACUUUGGUGCUCUUUUUGGUUCAGAACUUUUCCUUUAGAUCAUUUAACAAAGUCAUAAUUUGGACUUCCCUUUUCAGGGUAAACAGUGUUGCACGGGUUUUGCGUUGACACCUUUCAAUAUACUUGUCAUUACUGACCGAAACGAAGGGAAAUUAAAACAAACAAAAGUUAAACUUAUUAGUGAUUUUACACAUAAAUAGUUUCGUGAAAUCAAGGAAUCGUUUAAAUUGUAAAACUACAACAGUUUUUAAUUGUCUUUUGGAAAGUUCCUCGUGCGUUUACAUUUAAUUAUAUAAAACUUCAAACUGUGUUGGGUUUGUUUGGGAGGAUUUCGGCGAAUUCGUAAAGCAACAACGGUAUUCCUAAAAAUCACCAAUCAUGCCUGCCAUAUCUUCAAAGAAAGACUGUAAAAUCUGCACUACAUUUAAGAGGUUAAAGUCAUUAUACAGUAGAUCGUUACAUCUACAUCGCCACUGGAGCCAUUUCGCUAUCUGGUUUAUUCUCUCAAAUUAUCGUUGACUCUGUUUUAUUUUGGCAUGCGUGUUCACCACAAUAUUGUUAUUGGAUUAUACCGGCAAUUUUGUUUUUGUAAAUAAUAUUUGUACUGUAUUCAAUAGUUUAUUAUAAUGGUCUUUAAUGUAUACAUAGCAACGCGAAUCUGUUAGUACUUAUAUAUUUAUAAUACCUAUAAAGCAAUAAUUUUAAACUACAAUAUUACAAAUAAAUUUGUUAUUCAUUUUUUUAUUUUUCGAAUUAUUUAAAAA
Molecule: long non-coding RNA, 2281 nt
Organism: Bactrocera oleae (olive fruit fly)
Lineage: Eukaryota; Metazoa; Arthropoda; Insecta; Diptera; Tephritidae
Source: RefSeq, a predicted model, not a curated record